Molecule: transfer RNA, 87 nt
Filed under: Streptomyces purpureus
Lineage: Bacteria; Bacillati; Actinomycetota; Actinomycetes; Kitasatosporales; Streptomycetaceae
Description: tRNA-Arg
Source: RNAcentral
CGAUGUCGUGGUCCGCGGCCCCGAGGGCUGCCUGUCCCUGCCGGGCAUCGAGGCGGGCACCCCGCGCUUCGACCGCGCGGUCGUCGA